This 952-nucleotide small RNA is filed under the name Drosophila mojavensis. Its description in RNAcentral is "GI26301". Lineage: Eukaryota; Metazoa; Arthropoda; Insecta; Diptera; Drosophilidae. The record is from RNAcentral.
UUUAGAAAUGUCGUAGCCAUUUGGCAUCUAUAUUUUGUAUACCUUCCACACAACUCGACAAUAAAAAACACACAAUUUUGUAUUAUAAUUUUGAUCUUAUUUUCCAAAAAUCACCGCGAGUUAUUCGAGACGCGUGAUUCCGAUAAGUUCAGCGGAUUCGCAAGUGGAAAACGUUCAAAUUAUAAAGUCGCAGGAGCAGUUAAAACAAAACAUAUUACAUUUGAUUUGGUUCAAGAAGCCCAGAAACAAUUUAUUUGAAUAGAUGGCGGUUUCCGAAUAACGGUUCACGAAUUAGCGGACAACUGGAACUGAUCACUCAUUCAAUAAAUCAACCAAUCAAUCAAACAAACAAACAUCGAUCCACCCAUCGAUAAACCACUGCAAUUUUUUUUUGCCAUCACUUACUACGUUUUCUCAUAUACGUUGUUCACAACACAUCUAGAGGUGGUUGCAUUUGGAUUCAACACUCGUUCUAAUACCCAAUAUUAAUCAUUUGUGAUUUCAUUUAAACAUAUCUACAUAUACAUAUAUACACUUUUUUUUGCUUCUGUGUGUGUGUGUAUAUAUAUAUAUAUAUAUACAUAUAGCGUGUGCAAAUUGUAAGUUGAUGUUGUCAGUACUGCAAUAGCCGCUCAUAGUUCGAUUGCCAACGAGUCGCCACAGCUUGGCUCGGCCAAGUGGAACAUUUAGGGGCCUCCAGCUCCGGGUCUAGCUCCCAUCCAUCCAUCAAUUCAUCCAUUCAUCGGCAGCCGCCAUAGAAAGUGCUGAAGUGCUUGCCACAAACUGGCGCCCGCACAGGACGAAGCCGACCGGCGGCACGUCGCACAAAAAGUUGGCGGAUCCGUUGAUAAUAUUGCAAUUCCAGAGCUGGAGGUGGAUAAGCGGAAAUACCGCCGUCGGCAUCGAAAACUAGCGGAGCAACAAGAACACUUACAACAACAACUACGACUGG